GGCUGUGAGGACUAGAGAUCUGGCUGCUGACAUCUGUCACCCCAUUGAUCGCCAGGGUUGAUUUGGCUGGUCUGGCUGGCUAGGUGGUGUCCCCUUUCUCCCUCACCACUCCAUGUGCGUCCCUCCCGAAGCUGCGCGCUCGGUUGAAGAGGACGGCCUUCUGCAAGUAGAGACAGACCGGUGUUGGGUCCAGGGUAUACGGGUAGCUGCGCUCCCCUGCUAGAACCUCCAAACAAGCUGUUCUGAAGUAGGCCUUUAAAGCACUGUUUCAGAGAGCCAGAGCAAUAGUACAAGGGGGUACAGAGCUUU
This 309-nucleotide small nuclear RNA is filed under the name Sorex araneus (European shrew). RNAcentral describes it as "7SK RNA (ENSSARG00000017578.1)". It matches the Rfam family "7SK RNA". From Rfam's summary of the family: 7SK was discovered as an abundant small nuclear RNA in the mid-70s but a possible function has only recently been suggested. Two independent studies have found that 7SK RNA binds the CDK9/cyclin T complex (known as elongation factor P-TEFb). The record is from RNAcentral. Lineage: Eukaryota; Metazoa; Chordata; Mammalia; Eulipotyphla; Soricidae.